AUUGAACGCUGGCGGCAAGCCUAACACAUGCAAGUCGAACGAGUGGCGGACGGGUGAGUAAUGUCUGGGAAACUGCCCGAUGGAGGGGGAUAACUACUGGAAACGGUAGCUAAUACCGCAUACCAUCGGAUGUGCCCAGAUGGGAUUAGCUGGUGGGGGGGGGAAAGGCUCACCUAGGCGCCAAGCCCUAGCUGGUCUGAGAGGAUGACCAGCCACACUGGAACUGAGACACGGUCCAGACUCCUACGGGAGGCAGCAGUGGGGAAUAUUGCACAAUGGGGGCAAGCCUGAUGCAGCCAUGCCGCGUGUAUGAAGAAGGCCUUCGGGUUGUAAAGUACUUUCAGCGGGGAGGCGUUACCCGCAGAAGAAGCACCGGCUAACUCCGUGCCAGCAGCCGCGGUAAUAC
This 406-nucleotide ribosomal RNA is filed under the name uncultured bacterium. Its description in RNAcentral is "partial 16S ribosomal RNA". It matches the Rfam family "Bacterial small subunit ribosomal RNA", at positions 29 to 526 of the family's 1533-position model. The record is from RNAcentral.